Long non-coding RNA from Oncorhynchus keta (chum salmon), 781 nucleotides. RefSeq lists it as uncharacterized. NCBI's taxonomy places the organism in Eukaryota, Metazoa, Chordata, Actinopteri, Salmoniformes, Salmonidae. The record is from RefSeq and is a predicted model, not a curated record. The transcript is spliced from 5 exons.
GAGAGGAUAGCAUGUCUUGGGGGUAUGAUAUAAACUGCUAAACUUCCCUGUUAUUGUAAUGGUGAGAGGUUAGCAUGUCUUGGGGGUAUGAUAUAAACUGCUAAACUUCCCUGUUAUUGUAAUGGUGAGAGGUUAGCAUGUCUUGGGGGUAUGAUAUAAAAUGCUAACCUCCCCUGUUAUUGUAAUGGUGAGAGGUUAGCAUGUCUUGGGGGUAUGAUAUAAACUGCUAACCUCCUCUGUUAUUGUAAUGGUGAGAGGUUAGCAUGUCUUGGGGGUAUGAUAUAAACUGCUAACCUCCCCUGUUAUUGUAAUGGUGAGAGGUUAGCAUGUCUUGGGGGUAUGAUAUAAACUGCUAACCUCCCCUGUUAUUGUAAUGAGAGGUUAGCAUGUCUUGGGGGUAUGAUAUAAACUGCUAACCUUCUCUGUUAUUGUAAUGGUGAGAGGAUAGCAUGUCUUGGGGGUAUGAGAUAAAAUGCUAACCUCCCCUGUUAUUGUAAUGGUGAGAGGUUAGCAUGUCUUGGGGGUAUGAUAUAAACUGCUAACCUCCCCUGUUAUUGUAAUGGUGAGAGGUUAGCAUGUCUUGGGGGUAUGAUAUAAACUGCUAACCUCCUCUGUUAUUGUAAUGGUGAGAGGUUAGCAUGUCUUGGGGGUAUGAUAUAAACUGCUAACCUCCUCUGUUAUUGUAAUGGUGAGAGGUUAGCAUGUCUUGGGGGUAUGAUAUAAAAUGCUAACCUUCCCUGUUAUUGUAAUGAUGAGAGGUUAGCAUGUCUUGGGGGUAUGA